Molecule: ribosomal RNA, 331 nt
Filed under: uncultured bacterium
Lineage: Bacteria
Description: partial 16S ribosomal RNA
Rfam family: Bacterial small subunit ribosomal RNA
Source: RNAcentral
CCUACGGGGGGCAGCAGUGGGGGAUAUUGGACAAUGGGGGGAACCCUGAUCCAGCGACGCCGCGUGAGUGAAGAAGUAUUUCGGUAUGUAAAGCUCUGUCAGCAGGGAAGAAAGAAAUGACGGUACCUGACCAAGAAGCCCCGGCUAACUACGUGCCAGCGGCCGCGGUAAUACGUAGGGGGCAAGCGUGAUCCGGAAUUACUGGGGGCAAAGGGAGCGUAGACGGUGAAGUAAGUCUGGAGUGAAAGGCCGGGGCUCAACCCCGGGACUGCACUGGAAACUGUUUAACUUGAGUGCAGGGGAGGGAAGCGGAAUUCCUAGUGUAGCGGUG